RNAcentral lists this long non-coding RNA (478 nucleotides) under Homo sapiens (human). RNAcentral describes it as "HSALNT0316349". The record is from RNAcentral. Lineage: Eukaryota; Metazoa; Chordata; Mammalia; Primates; Hominidae.
GAACAGGGCCAAGGGCCAAGCUGUGGCCUUAAGCCAAUAUCUUGAGGUCAGGAAAAGAAGAAAUUCAACGUAAGGAAUGACAGUGAGCUAGGAAAAGCAGAAAGGAUGUGACCAACUGUGUCAAAUGCUGCUGAGACGUAAAACAUGAUGAAGUCCAAGAAUUGACUGGAGGGUCUGGUAGGACAGAGGAUGGCCGAUACUAGGCAUGCAUGUGCAUACAGAAAAGAGAGUAACCCAAUAGUGAGGAAGAAAUUGAUGCUGCAGGAGAGAGGGAAUAAUUGCCGAAGCAAAGAUCUUGAGGUACUGAGAAAGGAUGACCCUAAUUUCCUUAAUGCUGCAGCCUGCUUCCACUGAGGGACUGGAGGCUCCUUGAGCAAAAUUAUCUACCUCUUCACCUUUGGAUCUUUCACAGUUCCCAGUUCGGUGUACUACAGAUUGUACUUGCUAAAUAAAAAAUCAUUGUCAUGGUUUACCUAAA